RNAcentral lists this ribosomal RNA (1360 nucleotides) under uncultured bacterium. RNAcentral's name for it is "bacterial SSU rRNA". It matches the Rfam family "Bacterial small subunit ribosomal RNA", at positions 28 to 1381 of the family's 1533-position model. The record is from RNAcentral.
GAUGAACGCUAGCUACAGGCUUAACACAUGCAAGUUCGAGGGGCAGCAUGGUCUUAGCUUCGCUAAGGCCGAAGGCGACCGGCGCACGGGUGAGUAACACGUAUCCAACCUGCCGUCUACUCUUGGACAGCCUUCUGAAAGGAAGAUUAAUACAAGAUGGCAUCAUGAGUCCGCAUGUUCACAUGAUUAAAGGUAUUCCGGUAGACGAUGGGGAUGCGUUCCAUUAGAUAGUAGGCGGGGUAACGGCCCACCUAGUCUUCGAUGGAUAGGGGUUCUGAGAGGAAGGUCCCCCACAUUGGAACUGAGACACGGUCCAAACUCCUACGGGAGGCAGCAGUGAGGAAUAUUGGUCAAUGGGCGAGAGCCUGAACCAGCCAAGUAGCGUGAAGGAUGACUGCCCUAUGGGUUGUAAACUUCUUUUAUAAAGGAAUAAAGUCGGGUAUGGAUACCCGUUUGCAUGUACUUUAUGAAUAAGGAUCGGCUAACUCCGUGCCAGCAGCCGCGGUAAUACGGAGGAUCCGAGCGUUAUCCGGAUUUAUUGGGUUUAAAGGGAGCGUAGAUGGAUGUUUAAGUCAGUUGUGAAAGUUUGCGGCUCAACCGUAAAAUUGCAGUUGAUACUGGAUAUCUUGAGUGCAGUUGAGGCAGGCGGAAUUCGUGGUGUAGCGGUGAAAUGCUUAGAUAUCACGAAGAACUCCGAUUGCGAAGGCAGCCUGCUAAGCUGCAACUGACAUUGAGGCUCGAAAGUGUGGGUAUCAAACAGGAUUAGAUACCCUGGUAGUCCACACGGUAAACGAUGAAUACUCGCUGUUUGCGAUAUACUGCAAGCGGCCAAGCGAAAGCGUUAAGUAUUCCACCUGGGGAGUACGCCGGCAACGGUGAAACUCAAAGGAAUUGACGGGGGCCCGCACAAGCGGAGGAACAUGUGGUUUAAUUCGAUGAUACGCGAGGAACCUUACCCGGGCUUAAAUUGCAGAUGAAUUACGGUGAAAGCCGUAAGCCGCAAGGCAUCUGUGAAGGUGCUGCAUGGUUGUCGUCAGCUCAUGCCGUGAGGUGUCGGCUUAAGUGCCAUAACGAGCGCAACCCUUGUUGUCAGUUACUAACAGGUUCCGCUGAGGACUCUGACAAGACUGCCAUCGUAAGAUGUGAGGAAGGUGGGGAUGACGUCAAAUCAGCACGGCCCUUACGUCCGGGGCUACACACGUGUUACAAUGGGGGGUACAGAGGGCCGCUACCACGCGAGUGGAUGCCAAUCCCCAAAACCUCUCUCAGUUCGGACUGGAGUCUGCAACCCGACUCCACGAAGCUGGAUUCGCUAGUAAUCGCGCAUCAGCCACGGCGCGGUGAAUACGUUCCCGGGCCU